UACGGGGGCGCAGCAGUGAAAUUUUUGGACAAUGGGGAAACCCUGAUCCAGCCAUCCGCGUGUGCGAUGAGGGCCUUCAGGUUGUAAAGCACUUUUGGCGGGAAAGAGCAGCGCAGGAUAAUACCCGUGCAACUGACGGUACCUGCAGAAUAAGCACCGGCUAACUACGUGCCUGCAGCCGCGGUAAUACGUAGGGUGCAAAGCGUUAAUCGGAAUUACUGGGCGUAAAGCGUGCGCAGGCGGUUCGGAAAGAAAAGAUGUGAAAUCCCAGGCUUAACUUUGGAACUGCAUUUUAACUACCAGCGAGCUAGAGUGUGUCAGAGGAGGUGGAAUUCCCGCGUGUAGCAGUGAAUGCGUAGAUAUGCGGAGGAACGCAAAUGCUUGAAGAGCGGCUUCUCCUGGGAUAACACUGACGCUCAUGCACAGCGUGGGAGCAAACAGGAUUAGAUACCCCUGCAGU
RNAcentral lists this unclassified non-coding RNA (460 nucleotides) under uncultured Bordetella sp. Its description in RNAcentral is "partial 16S-23S ribosomal RNA intergenic spacer". It matches the Rfam family "Bacterial small subunit ribosomal RNA", at positions 340 to 794 of the family's 1533-position model. Lineage: Bacteria; Pseudomonadati; Pseudomonadota; Betaproteobacteria; Burkholderiales; Alcaligenaceae. The record is from RNAcentral.